Brassica oleracea var. oleracea is the source of this 1000-nucleotide long non-coding RNA. RefSeq lists it as uncharacterized. The record is from RefSeq and is a predicted model, not a curated record. The transcript has 3 exons. NCBI's taxonomy places the organism in Eukaryota, Viridiplantae, Streptophyta, Magnoliopsida, Brassicales, Brassicaceae.
CUUCCAAAACGAACAACUUCCAGGCUUAUAACUCUUAUUUUUGCUUUGGCACUUUCCAAACUUUUUUUUUCGUCUUUCCUCUCCAUAAAUUUUGUUCCAGAUUUCUAAUUAUAACAUUGAUUCUUAUUAAACAACCUUGAAAUCACCUCCUUUGGUGAAAAAAGAAAGAAUUGAUGGUUAAUGAGUCUCACAGAGUAAUCGUUGCUUUAUGUUUCUCCAGAUUUUUCUUGCUGAUGAAUGAUGGUCGUGUAAUUCAUAUUCAUGUCCUCGUAAUCAGCUUUGCAUCCAGAAGAAGCUCUUUCUUCGAAUGAGCUGAGAGCAACCGAUGCAUAUAUAUUUUGAGGAUUUCCCCAAAUCUUAUUUAUCUUCUACCCGUUGGUAGAGUGGGAGAAUCUCAUGUUUGUUAUCUGAAUUAGGAGACCAAAGCAGAGGAAGAACUUGAACGGAAGAAAAGAAGGAUGUCAAGGUUUUUCAGGAGGUUAAAGAGGAAGAUCUUGAGGAUUUUUUAUCAGACAUGCGUAUUUGGAUCCAUGGAAAAGCAGCGUGCAGGUGGAACCGCUUCUUCCGUUUUCACUUGCCAUGAAAGAUGCUGACGUAACAUCAGACCCUAAAGAGCUUUUAUUGGUUGCAGUGGUUGAAGAUCUAGAGGAUGAGGAUCAUACCUCUCAGAUAUACAAGAACAUUAGAGAGAAGUAGGGAGUUAGUUACACGGAGGCUGAGAUAAUUACUAGAUGCAAAAAGCCUAUCAUAAACCAAGGGGUAGAUCUCACCUCAGGUAUCGCUCCCUGAUCUUCACUAUACGAAACCUGAUGCAUACCGGAAGGAAUCGAAUGAGAGGACAACAAGGUGAAGCGGUGGAUCAGAUGAGAGGUAUGUUUCGUAUAGCCAUUGACAGAGUGGGUCUGAUCAGAAGUCAAAACCAGUAGCCGGAAUGUUUUGCAUUAUCCUUGAUUUACUUAAUUGCUUACAUCAUCAUUGAAUGAAAAUUAGAAGUUACAGC